Molecule: ribosomal RNA, 468 nt
Filed under: uncultured bacterium
Lineage: Bacteria
Description: partial 16S ribosomal RNA
Rfam family: Bacterial small subunit ribosomal RNA
Source: RNAcentral
GACGAACGCUGGCGGCGUGCUUAACACAUGCAAGUCGAACGGAAAGGCCCUGCUUUUGUGGGGUGCUCGAGUGGCGAACGGGGGAGUAUCACGUGUGUAACCUGCCCUUGACUUUGGGAUAACUUCAGGAAACUGGGGUUAAUACAGGACAGGAGCCCCUGCUGCAUGGUGGGGGUUGGAAAGUUUCGGCGGUUGGGGAUGGACGCGCGGCUUAUCAGCUUGUUGGUGGGGUAGUGGCUUACCAAGGCUUUGACGGGUAGCCGGCCUGGGAGGGUGACCGGGCACAAUGGGCCUGCGGGAGGGCCCAGAGGGCAACGUGGGACAGCGGUGGGAAGCAUGGCACAAUGGGCGGAAGCCGGAUGCAACAACGCCGCGUGCGGAAAGACGGCCUUUGGGUAAUAAACCGCUUCAGCCUGUGACGAAGCGUGAGUGACGGUAAUGAAUGAAGAAGCACCGGCUAACUACGUG